This 284-nucleotide non-coding RNA is filed under the name Patagioenas fasciata monilis. RNAcentral describes it as "Eukaryotic small subunit ribosomal RNA". It matches the Rfam family "Eukaryotic small subunit ribosomal RNA", at positions 57 to 336 of the family's 1831-position model. Lineage: Eukaryota; Metazoa; Chordata; Aves; Columbiformes; Columbidae. The record is from Rfam by way of RNAcentral.
AUCCAAGUACACACGGGCGGUAAAGUGAAAGUGUGAAUGGCUCAUUAAAUCAGUUACGGUUUCUUUGGUCACUCCUCUCCUGUUCCUUGGAUAAUUGUAGUAAUUCUAGAGCUAAUACAUGCUAACGAGUGCUGACCUCCAGGGUUGCGUACAUUUAUCAGACCAAAACCCGCCCAGGCCUGCCUAGCAUAGGGACAUGAUUGCAAAGUGUGGGGUCGGACUCGAUGAUAUUGAGAGUCUCUUCCAACCAAAAUUAUUGUAUGAUUCUACUGCCUGUUAUGAAG